Long non-coding RNA from Panthera uncia (snow leopard), 3014 nucleotides. RefSeq lists it as uncharacterized. The transcript is spliced from 4 exons. Lineage: Eukaryota; Metazoa; Chordata; Mammalia; Carnivora; Felidae. The record is from RefSeq and is a predicted model, not a curated record.
UAAUGUUUAUUUAUUUUUGAAGGAGAGAGAGACAGAGCGUGAGCAGGGGAGGGGCAGAGAGUGAGGGAGACACAGAAUCCGAAGCAGGCUCCAGGCUCUGAGCUGUCAGCACAGAGCCCGACACAGGGCUUAAACUCAGGAACUCAGGGCAAGAUCAUGACCUGAGCUGAAGUCGGACCCUUAAUCGACUGAGCCACCCAGGCGCCCCUCACUGUUGAAUUUUACCUAUGGCUUUAAGUCACCUUGUUUUCUUCAUUCCGUUAAAAAAGAAAAGGGGUGGGGGGAGUCUCAGUAUUGAUGAGUAGUGGCAGAUUCUGUGGCAUUUUAGAUGCUUUCCAAUAAACGUAUGGAUGCCUUUCACAGGGAGCACGGGUUGUAUUUCAGCAUGCCCUCCUCCAGCAAGUUGGAAUUUAGGCCCUGGCUCCAAAGACCUUUUGAAAGCCAGAAAGCUCACCAAAAUAUAUGGCCAGAGUUAGUCUGUUUUGGCAAUGACACUUGCUUAUUAUGACAUACAAUUAAAUUACAUAGAUUUAAAAUUUUGUACAACAAGCCUCUUGCAGUUUGCAGAGGGAAAGGAGCAGGCAGAAGAGAAAUAUGAAUAUGGUCAUGCUCCUCUCUUCUGGAGCCUACGAUCUAGUGAUGGAAGAAUGUAAAUAAAUAUAGGUGGUCCACAAAGCAGAAAAUGCAUUUGAAGAUGGGAUGUCUAAAAGCAGAAGGGAGUUCUCUUUCUAGAUAGCUGAGAGUCAAUAAUUACAAAAUCCUUUAAUACAAUUCCUUCAGUCUCAGGUGCCCCCUGCCAGAAGUGAGAAACCACCCUACGGAGUCUGACGUCUACAGACAGCUUUAGCCCUCAGCUGCCAACAGCUAUUCAUGGAGGGAGUUAAGCCAGAACUAGGGCUCCCCACUCAAGCCCUGCUUUGGUUCCUCUUGAAUUGCGGAGAGGGCCAAUGACAGUGACACCUGAUCUUUAAACCCCAUAAGGUCUUGACCUAAGGGGACUCAGUGCUUUUACCAAUACAGUUGGAUCAGACCCCAGGUCCUCUAUGGGAUCACCACCAUUUAUGCUCUCCACUUCCUGUUGAGUCUCCUGGCUGCAAUCCAUCGCCCCCUGUUCCUCCGUGACCUCCAUAACUUCCCCUGCUACGGUGAUGAAGCCAAAGUGUGGGAGGCACAGAAGGGGAGGUUGGCAAGGGACACUCCUCUUGGAUAGGAGUUCUAAAUGUGCCAGCAAGCUCUUGGAGCCCUUUCACUGCAGAGGGGAGCAGCCUUGUGCUUCUUCAGGGUAGAGGACUGGCCACACAGCCUCCAACUACCGCCGACGGUCUUUCUUCCACCUCCCCCAUGGACUCCUAAUUUCAUCUCUCAGCAGCAGCUGCUCUCAGGCAACACCAGAGCUGGAAACUACCUGAUCUAUGAAAGCCUGACUUCUUCCAAGCAAAGGAGGGUUAGGGUGUGGAUGUACAGAGAAGUGUGAAAGUGCAGAUUAUUUGGAAAUGGGGGUCCAACCUUACGAGGUUAUGUGUUAGGUACUUACGUGUUAAGUACUGGAGUAGACCUGUGAAAGGAGAGGAGAGGGAGAUUAAUUCUGACUGCAGACACAGCUUCAUGGUGGCAUUUUAUUCGUUCCUUCACUCAAUACUAUGGGCCAGGUUUCAUGCGAAGCGCUAGUAAUACAACAGUGAACAAGACACACAUGAUCUCCAAACCUGUGGAGUUGAUUCUGACCUUGAGCAGUUUGCUUUAGCCUCACUUUCUUCAUCUGAGAAUUGGGAUGAUGGUGAUGAUAAUAAUAGUAAUAACACUCAUCUCCUAGAGUUGUUGAACAGAAUAAAAUGAGUUAAGAUGGGCAAGGUGCCUAGCAAAGUUCCUGGCACAUUGCAUUUUAUGUAAGUAUCACUACUAUUUUUACAGUCUAGUUGGGGAGAGACCUGUGAAGCAAAGCCAGAAUUGGAAGGUGGAAGAGUGGGCUGGCUGGAGACGAUGAAAGUCACAGUCUGAACAAAGCACAAAGGUGGGAAAAGCAGGAACAGCAAAUACCUAAGCCGAGUAACUAGAGUGCAGGGGGUGGAGGGUGUGAUACGAAGAAUAUUGGGAGUUAAGGCUGGACCAGGCAGGUUGGGCUUUGCUCAAGGAAAGCCUUGUAUAUCACACUAAAUGGCAGCUCUUCAUUCAGCAGGGGAGCCAGGUUAGUGCAAUGAUGAAGAGCGGUGACCACCACAGUCUCCAAGAUCAAACACCCAAGGGUGCUGGGCACCAUGACCGGCUUGGAACCAGACCAUUGUGCAAUUUGCAUGCACGGAGGGGCAGCAGGCAGACAUUGCUAUGCCAACCUGUGCCCCUGUGUCUGAGGAAAUCCGUGCCCUGAUGUUAGCCCGGAUUGUCAGCUUCCACAAAUCAUGUUGGAGAAGAGCUAAUGCAUUUUUAACCAACUUCAGCAAAUUGAAGCUCUUUGGUGCUGUAGUGUACUAAUACAAUUGCUGCUAACUCUCUGAGAGCGGCAUCUGGGUCCGGAAAUUCCCACUUACUGCGGUUGUGAGCUCCAGGAGAAGAGGAAUUAAUAAGUCAGAGUGUCUACACAGUUGCAAGGCUUUUUGUGGCUAUCAUCUAUUAUCUUCCACCAGAGGGUUCGCCUGUGUAACCAUCAAAAUAUCUCAAACAUGACAGACUCUGACCUCCAAGGCUGGGUCAUAAAAGACAUUGUGGCUUCCACUUUAUUCUCUUUUUGGAUCACUCAUCCAGAAGUAGUCAACUGCACGUCAUGAGGACACUCAAGCAGCCUUAAAAGAGGUCCACGUGGUGGAACUGAAGCCUUCUGCCAACAUUAGCACUAACUUGACAGCCACCUGACUAAGCUCUUCUGGAAGUGAUGCUCCGGCACCAGUCAAGCCUUCAGAUGACUACAGCCCAGGCCAGUAUCAUGAGACACUCUGAGCCAGAAACACCCAGCUAAGCACUCCUCAAUUCCUGAUGCACAGAAACUGUGUGUGAUAAUAAAUGUUCAUUGUUUGAAGUUA